CACACUUUUCACUGAAACAAGGGGGAAACUCAAAUGGGGGCGUUGGCCCUUGGGGCAGCAGUAAGGAAUCUUGUGCAAUAUACGAAAGUAAGACACAGAGAGGACGUAGUUUACCUGAUCCGUCAAAUUAAGUGCCAGCAGACGCGGUGAAACUUAAGGGUUAGUUUUAUAGGGGAAAGCGUAAAGAGUGUGCGUGGGUCGCUCUGUUAUUAAGAGGGUAAAUGGAAUUUUUUUGUAGUGGUGAUAUAUUUAAAUAGGAAAAAGAACUUUAGAUGUGCAGGCGAUUUACCUCUAAGACUAUAGUGUCGGGGCUAAAAUAUGAGAGUGGGGAAAAUGAACAGGACCUGGCGCCCUGGUAAUCCAUACUGUAAACAAUGAAGGAGUGUGGAGUAGGCCCAAAAGGUAAGAAGUUUUUUCGCUUGAGUAGUACGAUCGCAAGAUUAAAAUUCAAAGAAUUUGGUGGUGUACUGUUUUCAUUAGAGGAGCGUGUUGUUUAAUUCGAUAGUCCGCGAGACACCUUACCCAAAUUUGAAUUCUUUAUUGACAGGUAUUGCAUGGCCGUCGUCAGUUUGUGUAUAAAACAUAAAACAGGUUUAACCCAGUGAUUCAAUUGGAUGAAGUCAGGUCUUAUUGUCCUAAUGUUUGGGGAUUAGAUGCGCUACAUUUUUUUAUAUAAUGGGAGAUUUUAAAGGGGAAACCUUAAAAUAAGAGUUCGGAAGGUCCUUGGAAGAUAGUGGAAAGUUGUAUUUAAUAGUAAUUGAAAAGUAGAGCGUUUCAGUGAAAUUGGUUCAGUAUAAGUACAAAUCGCCCGUCGCCUUUGCUUAAAGAAGUCGUUUGAACGCCCCU
Molecule: ribosomal RNA, 846 nt
Filed under: Gardineria hawaiiensis
Lineage: Eukaryota; Metazoa; Cnidaria; Anthozoa; Scleractinia; Caryophylliidae
Description: partial 12S ribosomal RNA
Rfam family: Bacterial small subunit ribosomal RNA
Source: RNAcentral